UACGUAGGUGACAAGCGUUGUCCGGAUUUACUGGGCGUAAAGAGCGCGCAGGCGGUCGUUCAAGUCGAGUGUGAAAGCCCCCGGCUCAACUGGGGAGGGUCACUCGAUACUGAUCGACUCGAAGGCAGGAGAGGGUAGUGGAAUUCCCGGUGUAGUGGUGAAAUGCGUAGAUAUCGGGAGGAAUACCAGUGGCGAAGGCGGCUGCCUGGCCUGUUCUUGACGCUGAGGCGCGAAAGCUAGGGGAGCAAACGGG
Molecule: ribosomal RNA, 253 nt
Filed under: uncultured bacterium
Lineage: Bacteria
Description: partial 16S ribosomal RNA
Rfam family: Bacterial small subunit ribosomal RNA
Source: RNAcentral